Molecule: transfer RNA, 73 nt
Filed under: Nanobdella aerobiophila
Lineage: Archaea; Nanobdellati; Nanobdellota; Nanobdellia; Nanobdellales; Nanobdellaceae
Description: tRNA-Asn
Rfam family: tRNA
About the family: Transfer RNA (tRNA) molecules are approximately 80 nucleotides in length. Their secondary structure includes four short double-helical elements and three loops (D, anti-codon, and T loops).
Source: RNAcentral
GCCGCCAUAGCUCAGUCGGUAGAGCAGCCGGCUGUUAACCGGCAGGUCGUGGGUUCAAGUCCCACUGGCGGCG